Molecule: long non-coding RNA, 442 nt
Filed under: Gossypium barbadense (sea-island cotton)
Lineage: Eukaryota; Viridiplantae; Streptophyta; Magnoliopsida; Malvales; Malvaceae
Description: long non-coding RNA (GBAR_LNC003557)
Source: RNAcentral
UUCGGUCCACAUUUGCCUCCCUACUAAUUAACUCAUUCUAAAGUUUUGGACCACUGCCACCACUGCACCGCCGUGUGUGGGUUGCGCCACCUUGACCCUCUGUUUUACGGGCUUUUUGCCCUCUGCUUCCCAUCACGUGAAUCCCGCUUGGCAACUUAACUUUGUUGGAACUAGUUCUGUUUAGCAUAAAACCAAAAAAGUGAGACAAAAACCUUGAUUUAAAAAAAAAAAAACAGACACAGUACAUCAAUCAAAAAUUGUGGAAAUCAAGUAGUGAAUUGUGUUUUAUAAUUCAGCACCAAAACAUAACACAAACAAAAUGGUGCAUAGGGAAUAUGUGUUUUGUUUAAACAUGACAAACUUAUCUUUUUGGGAAAACACCAUUUUUGCUGUGGGUUGCAUUCUCCACAAUGUUUUUCUUCCUCUCUCUCUUCCAUAUUCC